This 234-nucleotide ribosomal RNA is filed under the name uncultured bacterium. Its description in RNAcentral is "partial 16S ribosomal RNA". It matches the Rfam family "Bacterial small subunit ribosomal RNA", at positions 118 to 351 of the family's 1533-position model. The record is from RNAcentral.
UGAGUAACCUGCCCUUAACUCUGGGAUAAGCCUGGGGAAACUGGGGCUAAUACCGGAUAUGACUCCUCAUCGCAUGGUGGGGGGUGGAAAGCUUUUUGUGGUUUUGGAUGGACUCGCGGCCUAUCAGCUUGUUGGUGAGGUAAUGGCUCACCAAGGCGACGACGGGUAGCCGGCCUGAGAGGGUGACCGGCCACACUAGGACUGAGACACGGCCCAGACUCCUACGGGAGGCAG